This 235-nucleotide ribosomal RNA is filed under the name uncultured Candidatus Saccharibacteria bacterium. RNAcentral's name for it is "partial 16S ribosomal RNA". It matches the Rfam family "Bacterial small subunit ribosomal RNA", at positions 584 to 818 of the family's 1533-position model. The record is from RNAcentral. Lineage: Bacteria; Candidatus Saccharimonadota.
UAAGUCGGUAGUGAAAGCGUGGGGCUCAACCUCAUAUCCAUUACCGAAACUGCAAAGCUAGAGGACGAGAGAGGUUAUUGGAAUUCCCAGUGUAGGAGUGAAAUCCGUAGAUAUUGGGAGGAACACCGAUGGCGUAGGCAGAUAACUGGCUCGUUCCUGACACUAAGGCACGAAAGCGUGGGUAGCAAACGGGAUUAGAUACCCCGGUAGUCCACGCCGUAAACUAUGGAUGCUA